UACGGGGGGAGCAAGCGUUGUUCGGAUUUACUGGGCGUAAAGGGCGCGUAGGCGGUCAGCACAGGUCAGUUGUGAAAUCUCCGGGCUUAACUCGGAAAGGUCAACUGAUACUGUGCGACUAGAGUGCGGAAGGGGCAACUGGAAUUCUCGGUGUAGCGGUGAAAUGCGUAGAUAUCGAGAGGAACACCUGCGGCGAAGGCGGGUUGCUGGGCUGACACUGACGCUGAUGUGCGAAAGCUAGGGGAGCGAACGGG
RNAcentral lists this ribosomal RNA (254 nucleotides) under uncultured bacterium. RNAcentral describes it as "partial 16S ribosomal RNA". It matches the Rfam family "Bacterial small subunit ribosomal RNA", at positions 524 to 776 of the family's 1533-position model. The record is from RNAcentral.